Molecule: ribosomal RNA, 482 nt
Filed under: uncultured bacterium
Lineage: Bacteria
Description: bacterial SSU rRNA
Rfam family: Bacterial small subunit ribosomal RNA
Source: RNAcentral
UUGAACGCUGGCGGCAUGCUUUACACAUGCAAGUCGAACGGUAACAGGGAGCUUGCUCCGCUGACGAGUGGCGAACGGGUGAGUAAUGCAUCGGAACGUACCCAGUCGUGGGGGAUAACGUAGCGAAAGUUACGCUAAUACCGCAUACGUCCUGAGGGAGAAAGCGGGGGAUCGCAAGACCUCGCGCGUUUGGAGCGGCCGAUAUCUGAUUAGCUAGAUGGUGGGGUAAAGGCUCACCAUGGCGACGAUCAGUAGCUGGUCUGAGAGGAUGAUCAGCCACACUGGAACUGAGACACGGUCCAGACUCCUACGGGAGGCAGCAGUGGGGAAUUUUGGACAAUGGGGGAAACCCUGAUCCAGCCAUUCCGCGUGAGUGAAGAAGGCCUUCGGGUUGUAAAGCUCUUUCGGCAGGAACGAAACGGCGGAUACUAAUAUUAUCCGUUACUGACGGUACCUGAAGAAGAAGCACCGGCUAACUACGU